RNAcentral lists this long non-coding RNA (1077 nucleotides) under Mus musculus (house mouse). Its description in RNAcentral is "predicted gene 10575, transcript variant 2 (Gm10575)". Lineage: Eukaryota; Metazoa; Chordata; Mammalia; Rodentia; Muridae. The record is from RNAcentral.
AGAGUAGCUGUGGGAGGUACAGCUCAGAAUGCGCCUGUUUGUAGAUACCAGAAUGGCUAGGAAGUUGUGAAUGAAAGGCACAGGCUUUCAUAAGGUCUCAGGGCACCCUGAAGAGGGUCUCCAGGUGACUGGGACCUGCUCACCCAGGCCUAGACAGAACUCCCGGGCUGUGAGGAAGCCAGUGUGGGCCUGGUCCAGACUUUCAAAUACAGCCUCCAGCUGUUCAGGCGUAAGUGGAAGAUCACUCUGCAGACCCUGACCAGGCAAGAAGGACCACGGCACGGUCACCACCCCACCAACCGCUCCAGUGUUCCUCGGGACCGGAGGUCCAUCCUGGCCGGAAGCCGCGCUGCCGCCAGGCUCCAGGGAGUCCAGACGAAAGGCAGCGGGUGGGCCCACAGGCAAAUCUCAUCCACGCACGUCUGGGCUAGCUGCCUUCACCCGAGGAACACAGCCGUUCCAGACAGAGAUGCGUGCGAUGGCUGCUCUACACAGCGCUCGGAAGGUGCGACCACUGGAGCUAGGGGCCCGGGGUUGGGGGUGGGGAAGCCCAGAGGGCGCGGCGCUGGGACCCCAGUCGCGGGACCUGCGAGCAAAUAAAUGCCUACCUGCGAGCCGCGCCGCCGCACCUGCCGCAGGCGGGCCGCUCCUCCCGGAAACGCGCGCGGCGCGCCCCGCCCCUGCCUGGACCCCGAUAGCCCGCGAGGGGCGCGUACCCAGAGCGACCUUGCGGCCUUACAGGCCCGGAGACCCCGGGAUAGCACGUCCGGGUGGAUCCUCCACCAGAGCGCUGCUGUAGUUUUGUCCCGCCUCUCUUAUCCUGGUGACCCGACCCAGAGUGGCUAGCUCUCCCCGGAGAGCCACAGGGGGCAGCAAAGUUGUAUCCCUCACUCCCACCAUCUCCCCAGCUCCCCCCAAGACCCUUUUAGAACAAAAUCAAGGCUGGGGAGGUGCAGAUGCCAACCCCCACCCCGCCCGGAGUAUCCAGACUUAGGGUGCCAAGAAGUGUUGUGUAGGAAAAUGCGGAGCAGGAAAUAAACCAAAUACUUUCAGUGGCUGUAAAAAAAAAAAAAAAAA